Molecule: long non-coding RNA, 1772 nt
Organism: Drosophila ananassae
Lineage: Eukaryota; Metazoa; Arthropoda; Insecta; Diptera; Drosophilidae
Exons: 3
Source: RefSeq, a predicted model, not a curated record
GCGACACCUAUGAGCCGCAGUUGGCGGAGGGUGGCGCCAUCUAUGAGAAAAGGUUUAGCGUAGGUAUUGGGGGAGCGCCUGGAACAAAACGAAUUCCGGUAGUUCGCCAUUUGUGGACCCCAGGAGCCAGCCCGCCGAAAAUCCGGCGUCGGUCCGCUUAUGGGUAUGGGUGGGAUCAUUCCCAAGCAAGAUCUGCAACAAGCCAGACGUGUCAGCAAGGCGCUAAGCAGCAAAACCACGGGAGAAAAACCAACAAUAUUCGAAGAUCCCGCCGGCAGUUGUGACAAUUAAUUUUGGGGACGCUCAAAGGCUCCCAAUUGUCCACCGGCGUCAGUAAACCGAGUGUAGAGGUGGAAGUGGUGGCUCGAGGAAAACCCAGGGCAGGCCGAGCAAAAGUCCGAGUGGACUAUUCCGUGUCCACUAUUAAAGAACUCCAGGUGGCUCAACUAAGGAAGUCCAACCAAAGGCGGACGGAGGAGCACCGAGGAAGGAGAAGAAAUCCCGGCCUAAAAUAGGCUAACCGCAGCAAGUUCGCUUCGAACCGAAGCUAGGUUCGAGCGAACGGAGGAGCGCAGAGGAGGCGCUAACCGCAGUGUAGCGCGAUCUUCAAGAACGGGAGGGAGGAAAACAUCGGAGGUGUCCCAGUAAAAGGUCCAGGCUGAAUGGAUAUUCCAGCUUUGGAUCCGGUCCGUAGUGUCCCUGGCCAGUGAUUUCAAGGAGCCAUAUUAGAGAAGCAGUGUAAACCCAAAGUGAAAUGGAUAAGAUUUAAGCAAGAAAAAAAACAAGAAAAAAAUCGGAAGAAACCCGGGAAAAAAAAAAAGGUUUAAGGAAGCAAAGAAAAGUUUUAACGUAACGUUCCUAAUGGCUUGAUCGGGAAACAAGGCUAGUCAGAGGAAAUUCAAUGUCGCUUCAAAUUGUGUUAUUGUUUUCGUGGAUUUAUUUAAUUGUGCCGCCCCAGUGGGGAAUAAUUUGUAAGGCAUAAAAACUUUGUUUCAGCGACCCCCCCGAAAGCGCUUUCGUCGUGGGAUGCAGCAAGGAGUUCUCAUGGGGAAUAAUUUGUAAGGCAUAAAAACUUUGUUUCAGCGACCCCCCCGAAAGCGCUUUCGUCGUGGGAUGCAGCAAGGAGUUCUCAGUGAGUAAAACCGGCCAAUUUGUUUUAUGUGACAAUUUUGUUUUGAUUUUUAAUCCUUGGUGUCCCGACCAAUGCGGACUCUAAGAGUCACAAGUUUUCCUAUGUGUUUUUGGUUCCUUUAAUUUUUUUUUGUUUGGUUUUUAAAAGAAAAAAAAAUAAUUAUUAAUACCCAGUCUUUCACUUUGAUUUACGUUGUUGAUUCAUAAUUUUAUUUAAUUCUAUCAAUUUUAACUUGUGCUAUUUGCUAAGCCAAUUCUAAGCUGAUAUGUACGCCUUGAUGUUUAUUUACAUUUAUUUAUUGAAAUUUUAUUAGCUUUAGUUCUUUUUAUACGCAUUUGCCAUGAUCCAAUUUUAUAUGUAUGUUCUAUCGUAGGAAUAAAUAUUUUAUAAUGUUUUAAACCAUCAGUUUUAUGCCGCAGCUAGCAGAGAGUAGGUAGUAGGAGUACCCAUGGAAAGGGGUCGCUCGCAGGAUGUGGAAAGCGAGCGAUCAUUGGUAGGGUGGGCACGCGAGAGUCGCCCCAUGACACCUGGGUGACUCGUAAGUAAGGCGCAGGAAGGGAACCCCCCCCAUCUCUCACCAUCCUAGGAUAUCGGGACUCUUUCCGGAGAGUAGAUAUUUCGUCGCGAGCACGCAUUUGAA